AUUAAAGCGAUACCAGUACACCAAGAUAAAAGUGAGGAGCUUUUGGAUACUCUUCCAAGUCGAGGACCGGAGGCGUUUGGUUUUUUCUGGAAUUUCUCAAUAAAAAUCAAUCAUUUUUGGGUGAUUUAUUGAAAUCUUACAAAGGUUCAACAGGUACAAAGCAACCAGUUGAUAAUGUAGAUGCUCCAUCGCGUAAUCUCGAUGAUGAAAAGUCUCCUGAAGAAACUGACGAAGAGUUAAAACAUGAGAACUCCCCAAACACUAUUGGUAAAACCACCAGUAUCUGUACACAAGAAGAUGGGAAAUGGUUUAAAUGGCGGCUUCCUAAACCGAAUGAAGAAGUUAAUCCAAAGUCCCACGAAAACAACGAAGAUGACAAAAAAAGAAUUUGAUAUCUGAAUACUUUUCCAGUCAUAAAGAUGUUAUUGCAAGGGAUUAUAUGUACUCAAUGACACACAGUCCACGUGGCAUAGCAUUCAUCAUCAACAAUAAAAAUUUCUUAAAGGAAUCAGGAAUGCAAAAA
Molecule: long non-coding RNA, 523 nt
Organism: Xenia sp. Carnegie-2017
Lineage: Eukaryota; Metazoa; Cnidaria; Anthozoa; Malacalcyonacea; Xeniidae
Exons: 3
Source: RefSeq, a predicted model, not a curated record